ACGACCCGCUGGACCCAGGCUGCGGUUGCUGGAACUGCUGGUUUCAAGCAGGAGCCUAGAGAAAAUCCUCCUGCGAUCUGUGGACCGUCUCAGUCUCCUGAGUGUGACGGUCACGGCUCCAGGAAGACACUCCU
RNAcentral lists this small nucleolar RNA (134 nucleotides) under Sorex araneus (European shrew). The record is from RNAcentral. Lineage: Eukaryota; Metazoa; Chordata; Mammalia; Eulipotyphla; Soricidae.